UUCUAAGGAACUAUUGUGGAGAUAAGUCGUAUGCUUCCAGCAGUAAGUCUCCCUUAUCUGUCUAAAGCUGCAUACCUUGGUUGCUGCAUGGAGUGCAAAACUGGAUGAGUGAAGCAUGAUGUACUCGAUGGUCUCUUUGUGUAUAUGCUUGCUCUGGUACUUUGCUAGCAGAUCUGUAAGCAAAAACAAAAACACAAGGAUCACGGUUCUCACAUGUAUUCAUCUUUGGUAGCAUACCAGAUCCGCCUGAGAAUUUCCAUUUUUAGUAUGAUAACUGGCUAUUAAUCAUUCCUGGCCAAACCAAAUCGCAGAUGUGAUCUCAAGUAGAGAUUGGAAAUGCCUCGUGUGGCCCAGGAAGCUGAUACAAUGAACAGAGAGAUUGAGUUGCUCAUAACCAUACAUACAGGAGUCCUGAGGAAACAACCUAUGCGUUCUCCUCCGGAUACACAAAACUCAUCUGGGAGGCAUCACAAUUUUUGAAGUUGCCAUGACACCAACUCAGAUGACGCCAGAAUUUUGAGUUCCGUAAGUUUGCCAAGAGUCAUUAUAGUUUGUUUAACUCAUGCAAGUAGAGACUCUGUUUCUAUAAUUCCAAUCUGAUCGAAUGAGCAGUGUUUUAUCUGGUGAUUCGUACAAUCCAAUCCGAGGAUAGUACGGAUCGCGACCUUUUGUCUUGACCAUCGUAGCAUUAUGAGAUCAUCAAUUUUGUAUCUU
Non-coding RNA from Musa acuminata subsp. malaccensis (wild Malaysian banana), 714 nucleotides. NCBI's taxonomy places the organism in Eukaryota, Viridiplantae, Streptophyta, Magnoliopsida, Zingiberales, Musaceae. The record is from RefSeq and is a predicted model, not a curated record.